RNAcentral lists this ribosomal RNA (506 nucleotides) under uncultured bacterium. RNAcentral describes it as "partial 16S ribosomal RNA". It matches the Rfam family "Bacterial small subunit ribosomal RNA", at positions 28 to 523 of the family's 1533-position model. The record is from RNAcentral.
GAUGAACGCUAGCUACAGGCUUAACACAUGCAAGUCGAGGGGUAACGAGAGGAAAGCUUGCUUCCCUUGUCGACGACCGGCGCACGGGUGAGUAACGCGUAUCCAACCUGCCCCCAACUAGGGAAUAACCUUGCGAAAGUAAGACUAAUACCCUAUAAUUUCCUCAGAUGUCAUCUGACGAGGAAUAAAGAUUUAUCGGUUGUGGAUGGGGAUGCGUCUGAUUAGCUUGUUGGCGGGGUAACGGCCCACCAAGGUAACGAUCAGUAGGGGUUCGGGGAGGAAGGUGCCCCACAUUGGAACUGAGACACGGUCCAAACUCCGACGGGAGGCAGCAGUGAGGAAGAUUGGUCAAGGGGCGGAAGCCUGAACCAGCCAAGUAGCGUGCAGGAUGACGGCCCUAUGGGUUGUAAACUGCUUUUAUACAGGAAUAAAGUUAGCCACGUGUGGUUAUUUGUAGGUACUGUAUGAAUAAGGACCGGCUAAUUCCGUGCCAGCCGCCGCAGUAA